This 351-nucleotide ribosomal RNA is filed under the name uncultured bacterium. RNAcentral's name for it is "bacterial SSU rRNA". It matches the Rfam family "Bacterial small subunit ribosomal RNA", at positions 917 to 1269 of the family's 1533-position model. The record is from RNAcentral.
GGGCCCGCACAAGCAGUGGAGCAUGUGGUUUAAUUCGAUGCAACGCGAAGAACCUUACCAGGCCUUGACAUCCUGCGAAUCUCUUGGAAACGAGAGAGUGCCUUCGGGAACGCAGUGACAGGUGGUGCAUGGCUGUCGUCAGCUCGUGUCGUGAGAUGUUGGGUUAAGUCCCGCAACGAGCGCAACCCACGUCGUUAGUUGCCAGCAUUUAGUUGGGCACUCUAGCGAGACCGCCGGUGAUAAACCGGAGGAAGGUGUGGAUGACGUCAAGUCAUCAUGCCCCUUACAUCCUGGGCUACACACGUACUACAAUGCUACGGACAAAGGGCAGCAAACUCGCGAGAGCUAGCA